CUGCUGAGCCCACAGUGGCCUGAAGGACAGGGGGGCUGCGUGAUGAGGGUCCUGGGGGGGGUCCCACAGCAUCCGCAGGGAGGCCACGGGGGUCCCAACUGAGAGCUGGAGUCCUGAGGGGUGGGCAGGGGAGGAGGAUAGGGGGCAAUUGUGCCACUAAAAUGGGCAUAACAUGGAAAUGUCAGACUUCUCUGUACCUUAGGAUGUGCUUUGUGUGUUUGAAUUGGGUGGAAAGUUUAAAAAGGAGGGAAAAAGCUCACCUUUUUCUGAAGUAGCCGUCUGCCAUCACUGGUGGCUUUGCCCUUCCUCUUCGCAGCCUUUCCCGGUAGGAGAGAAGGUGUCUGAGGGGAAAGGGGAAGGCAGGCUUCCAGGACGGAGCUCGCUGCGCUUUGUGGGGGCACAACGAGGGGCACCCUUGGUGCACAGCACCGAGAAGGCGAAGGCCACGCUUUGCUUCCCCCCGUGCUUGUCAGUUUGAGGGGAUUCAAGCAGUGUCAGCACCCGGAGCACUUUGUGGUGCUGCUCUCUCGCCUCCCAGGCAGGGCAGGAGGACAAAGUCCAGCGCUUCUGAUGUUUUCCAGCAGCAGCAGCACCAAAAGCAACUCCAGUGUAGCUCUGCUAAGCUGUGCACCGCUAAGGCUGCGCUCAGCCGCCACCAAAUCCUUGGGGUCGGGGAAUUGAGGGCGAUGUGCUACCCCUGAGACACCGGGAUGCUGACCUGCUCCCCUGCUAGGGGCUGCAAUCCUGCAAGAUUUUGGCUUUUGGCAUCGCAGCGGGAGCUGGAUUGGCAUCCGCAGAGCUCCGAGAGGGGAAAGGCCGAGCCGUGAGCCCGCUGCAGGCAAGUGGGGGCUCGGAGAGGGGCUGGCAGCGGGCUCAGCCCGGAGGGGACCCCGGAGACCGGUGGGGACCCGGAGCCCGGUGGGGACCCAGAGCCCGGUGGGGACCCGGAGUCCGGUGGGGACCCAGAGCCCAGAGGGGACCCAGAGCCCGGGGGGGACCCGGAGCCCGGUGGGGACCCGGAGCCCGGUGGGGACGGCAACAGCGACGCUGGAAGGGGUGGAGGGGUGGGGGGGGAAUUCAUCCCCGCAUUUACAUCUCGGGAACCGAGCGUCCCCGGGGGAAUUCCCUGCCGUUCCCCCGGCAAACCCAGAACAAAGCCUUGCGCUUAUCGCCCAGAGCUUUGCAGCUGAGCAAACCCCACCUGCUUCCUCGCUCGGGCAGGUAAAUAGGGCUGGGGGCUCCU
Molecule: long non-coding RNA, 1243 nt
Filed under: Anas platyrhynchos platyrhynchos (common mallard)
Lineage: Eukaryota; Metazoa; Chordata; Aves; Anseriformes; Anatidae
Description: lncRNA (ENSAPLG00000026757.1)
Source: RNAcentral